RNAcentral lists this long non-coding RNA (742 nucleotides) under Ovis aries (sheep). Its description in RNAcentral is "lncRNA (ENSOARG00000025729.1)". The record is from RNAcentral. Lineage: Eukaryota; Metazoa; Chordata; Mammalia; Artiodactyla; Bovidae.
AGUCACAGCUGCCGAUGGACUAGGAGCCUCAUUUCAAACGAGGUUUUAGGGUGUCGCUGUCGCAGCCGACUGGGGUGGAGGUUGGGGCUGGUGUCACGGGUGGACAGGGAAAGCAGGAACCCAGGGCGCUUGGCGGUUUUCCGAGAGGACGCCCCACCCCUCCUGACCUGCUUGCAGGAAUCCACCGUCAGAGCCCGGGAGCAGGGGGUCCAGGGGAGGCAGAGAAGAGCUGUCGCUGGGAGGCGGGAGGCAGGUCAGGGCCGGGGCCGCGGGGAGGGGGGCGGCCGGGUCCCCAGAGGGUCUCCAGUAGGAAGCGUGGGCGGGCACCGUGUGGCCGGCGCUGGACACUCAGGUCUGAGAACCGAGCGGGAGACCCAGGGACCUGUUUCUCAGAACACAGACCACUUUGCAUUUGGAACCAAACAGGAGGUUCUGGUCGAGUAAGAAGACGGGGGCUGUGAGGUAUGAAAGUUGUUUCUCACUGAAUCCACGAGAACUUGAGCGGCGCGGACGUGCUGUUUCUGCCGUGUCUAAGCUAAAACAUGGGUGAGAUUUUAUCCAACAUCACACGCGGCGGGCAUACGAAUGAGGUAUAGGGACCGGCUGCUUUUCUUGAACGCACUCUCAUAACCUGAAGUCAGAAAGUCCCCGACACUCGCGUUCCUCCCGUCCUUGGAACAGGGAUGGAGAGCGUGGUGGCUCAUCCGUGGGUGCUGGCGGGCGAAGCCGGGAGGCCGUGGGU